Molecule: long non-coding RNA, 708 nt
Organism: Zea mays
Lineage: Eukaryota; Viridiplantae; Streptophyta; Magnoliopsida; Poales; Poaceae
Exons: 3
Source: RefSeq, a predicted model, not a curated record
UGACUAUGUAGGUAUGUGUAGUGCUGUUGUGUGUACCUUGAAUUUCUUUCUACAUCUUCCUGUGGUGGCAUAGAAUGCGUGCAGUAAGCUGCAUUCCACCAAUGGUCAGAUUGAUGCAUAAAUCAUCAUGUGCGUGGUGAUUCAGGAUAAACUAAUUGCCUGAUUGGGUUUUGGGUGCUGCCAAUUUAUCUGCAUAAGUUUUUGUAUUGUUAUCAUACAUCUCCAUAAGCUUUUCUAAUCUACACAAGCUUUUCUAACUGGUUUGAAUAGAGAAUAAGAUUAACAUCUUAUGAAGGAUUGUUGGGAUAUAUAAUAGUGCAAAUGUAGUUCAGGCGACCUUUUGGAUCUCCCUGCAAUUACUUAUUAACUAGACGUAUAACUCAGAUUUACAAGAAGGCAGAAAAUGAUGCAAAAUCUACGUGUCCUUUUGGAUCUCACCAAUUGUCAGCACGUCUGCUUAUAACGAAGUUCUAGAGAAGGAAAAGAUGGAAUGAAACUCAAAUUUUGGUGGCUGCAUAAGUGUGGAGACUUGAAUUCAUAUAUACUUAGUUAGGCUCAACGUUAGCGCAAAUAGUUGAUGACCAAGUUUUUCCAUUAGUAUUUUAGUUUGGAUUUAAAGUACACUUAUGUAUGAGUUAUUUGACAAUGCUUAUUUAUGAGAUAUUGAAUGAUACUUAUCUAUAUUAUAUUAAUUAUAAUGUUAUUAAA